Molecule: transfer RNA, 73 nt
Filed under: Haslea silbo
Lineage: Eukaryota; Bacillariophyta; Bacillariophyceae; Naviculales; Naviculaceae
Description: tRNA-Met
Rfam family: tRNA
About the family: Transfer RNA (tRNA) molecules are approximately 80 nucleotides in length. Their secondary structure includes four short double-helical elements and three loops (D, anti-codon, and T loops). Further hydrogen bonds mediate the characteristic L-shaped molecular structure. tRNAs have two regions of fundamental functional importance: the anti-codon, which is responsible for specific mRNA codon recognition, and the 3' end, to which the tRNAs corresponding amino acid is attached (by aminoacyl-tRNA synthetases). tRNAs cope with the degeneracy of the genetic code in two manners: having more than one tRNA (with a specific anti-codon) for a particular amino acid; and 'wobble' base-pairing, i.e. permitting non-standard base-pairing at the 3rd anti-codon position.
Source: RNAcentral
AGGCUUAUAGUUCAGUUGGUAGAACAUGUCGCUCAUAACGGUAUAGUCGUAGGUUCAAAUCCUACUAAGCCUA